CCUACGGGAGGCAGCAGUGAGGAAUAUUGGUCAAUGGCCGUAAGACUGAACCAGCCAAGUCGCGUGAAGGAAGACGGCCCUACGGGUUGUAAACCUCUUUUAUCAGGGAGCAAGAUGCGUGUCGUGACCUGCUUUGAAAGUACCUCAUGACUAAGCAUCGGCUAACUCCGUGCCAGCAGCCGCGGUAAUACGGAAGGUCCGAGCGUUAUCCGGAUUUAUUGGGUUUAAAGGGUGCGCGGGCGGAGGACAACGUAAGCGGGAAAAUCCCGGGGCUAAACCCAGCACCGCCGUUGAAACUGUGUUCCUUGAGUGCGCGAAGGGUAGGCGGAAUGCGUGGUGGAGCGGUGAAAUGCAUAGAUAUCACGAAGAACUCCGAUCGCGAAGGCAGCCUACGGGAGCGCAACUGACGCUGAUGCACGAAAGCGUGGGUAUCGAACAGGAUUAGAUACCCUGGUAGUC
Molecule: ribosomal RNA, 459 nt
Filed under: uncultured bacterium
Lineage: Bacteria
Description: partial 16S ribosomal RNA
Rfam family: Bacterial small subunit ribosomal RNA
Source: RNAcentral